RNAcentral lists this ribosomal RNA (2793 nucleotides) under Triticum aestivum (bread wheat). RNAcentral describes it as "partial small subunit ribosomal RNA". The record is from RNAcentral. Lineage: Eukaryota; Viridiplantae; Streptophyta; Magnoliopsida; Poales; Poaceae.
GUUAAGCCUCGGAGUGGCGAGCCAAAAGGAACCAUAAGCCAUCGCGCGUCGGGGGACGGGGUGAAUGGCGAAGCAGGGCGAGCUCCUUUUCUUUGUCCGCGACCUCUCUUCUUCGCUGCGCUGAGUCCUCUGCCGCCGCGUCCGCUGACUGAAGAGGGUUGCUUCCAGCUAGGUGUGGUUCAGAAGAAGAAUGGGCGGUACCUCUUGCGGGGGGACAGGCAACAAGGGGCAGUACCGCUGGCUCCAGGCUCCUCCAGGGUGGGACGCCGCCACCGCCGAUGGAGAACGGAUGGUACCGCUCGCAGGGGAGGGAAGUUCGCGGACUUAGGGGUACCGUCGGCGGGGGAGGGGAACCAGUCUUGGGAUUAGGGAUUUUAAGGGGAGAUUAGGGUUUAAGCCACCCACAUACCUUGAUACCUAGGGGUAGUCGUUGGGCUAAGUUCUCCCUUCUUCAACACCACCGCCGCUUAAUACGUUGGUUACAGAGAGUGCUGUAGAGAUGACCUCGGCGGAGACGGAUGAGACCACACAACGUCGAGGAAUGAGAUCGGUGCACAACGAACGAGAGGGUGAUCGGAGACGGAGGACACCAGAGCUUCAACUACUGUGGGACUAUGUUUCGAGGGUGUUAGUAGGCGAGGUAGAGUCGUUUUCCUCAAACAUAGGUCGAACUGGAGGUAUCGUCCUUCUAAAAUCAUUAGCAAGAUAGUUACAAGAUAAUUACCUCUUCCCCCUCUCGUUACCUUUAUUGUGGGGCAGCACCAGGAUCACGAAGAGAGGCACCCAAGAGAUGUCCAUGCAUGAUCUGUUGAUGGGUAACAAAAACAAAAGAUGACUGUCAAACUAGCGAAGUAGUUAGGAAGAUCUCCCAGAACUGUCCUUCCUGACUCGUCGGUGACACGACCUCAUCUAACACACUGUCCAAAAAAGGAGAGAUAGGAUGGGCACUAACCAAAGAAACCACUUCUUUCGUAGUGAUAGAAAGUUAUGUAGUACCUACUAGUUGUACAUACAGAAGUACCAUGUUCUUACUUCUAAUUGACAAGUUAGAUAACUAAGUCUCACUCUGUUCCCACUUUGUCUUAUUCGAGUAAAAACACUAAAUAUGUACCACCUUAAGGUCUUAUCUCCCAACUGAGUAUGAGUAUGAAGUUAAGCCGAAUAUCCCUUGUUAGUACUUGGAAGCCGGAGGAAGUAUCUACCAAACUAAAGCCGACUCUAUGGACUUGGAAACCAACUCGGGACCCAAUACGAGAAUACCUAAUUAAAUACCAAGUGCCAGGUACACCUCUUAUGUUUCAUUUCACACGUACAUACUUUCUACCUAACACAAGGUUUUCUAAAGGGUUUCUAAAAUUACUCGUCUGUAGUGAACUACUAUCUCCGAAAGGAUAUAUAGUAUAUAGUAUCUGUACUAAACCCAAUGAUACACUCCUUGUUCCCAUGACAAUUCGACCUAUUAGCUACCCAUCACCGCGUGACGAAUGUUGACGAAUUUUCUAAGAUUCACGUGUAAUUACAACUCACCACGUUGUUCUGUUUAAACGAGUUUAUAAACAAGGUCAUAGAGUGAUUCCCGGUACUACAACGAGCGUAUUCCAAAGUUGGAUACCAGCUUACAACUCGCAAACAACGGGAACCACACCGUUGAUCUUCUUUACUUUAAAAUUUUAAACAACUCACGUCUAUAGAAAGACGAACGCUUCGUAUGACGGUAUACAAACGAAAGUUAUAUGUACCAGCACUCGGACGUCACCUCUCUAACCAACACGUGGAAGGAGCUCAGAAGUAUUCCUCAAUGGAACCUUGGUCCUUUCAACGAAAUUAAAAACAACUCUUCUGCUGCUUUUUAUUACCUAUGUUAAUACCUCAUUUAUUUAAUGAAACCGACUUGUUGGAUGUUGUUUGACUGGGUACGAACAGUAUGAUGAUAGAAGACAGUAAAAGUACCAUAAAAGAUCGAGAAUCAGACGUUCACAACGGUUGAGAUUACUGAGUGCUGCGUCUGAGCGUAUAACGUACUAGUGUAGAAUCGAAAGAACCAUUAAGACGUGAAGCUUCCUUCAAACAAAGAAAAGCCCUUUGGUUCCAUCAAAUAAAACUAGGUUUAGGUUAUUAUUUUAAACUAGUUAAGGACAUAUUAGAUACCUUCAACGUAUAUAAACAGUCCUAAUUAGUCGAACUAACUAUUCAAUAUAAAAAGUAAAACGUCAGACAUAGACCACUUUGAAAUAUCCGGUCAAUGUGUAUGUAUAUCUUUAUUACAGUAAAAGGAAAUUUUUUCUAAUCGCAACGUACAAGUAUUAUCGUAACCGGUUAUUAAAAAGUGACUUAUAUUAGAUUCUACUCUGUCUUCGUCUACCUGAUGUUCGAUAUUGACUCUUCACGUGCUUCUGUCUAUUUGAUUACUUAUGCUUGAGAAUAAAUAAAACAUUCACAACGUUGUGUGCCCGAACACUAAGUACCAAACCUGUUGCGGGCAUCGUUACUUGAGAAUAGAUAAGCAGUGGGACCCACUCCUUAUCAAUAAUAAGUGGAGGGAGAUAAAAUGGUAGUUACGUGGUAUUAAAAUACAAGGCAUCCAAAAUAGAUUAUAGGCUGCAUUUUUCUCUGGUAUUCUUUUAUAUAUUAGCAGCAUUUUUUAUAAAAUACAAUACAUUUUAAUGUUUGCAUUUUUUUAUCACAUUUUAUCUGUAUUUGACGUUUAAAAGAACAGAAUACUGGAUAUAAAAAUAAAAGAAUACGGUUUAAAAUGCAUCACUUAAUUAUCCUUACAUUGAUAAACUUAAGGUU